CCUACGGGAGGCAGCAGUGGGGAAUAUUGCACAAUGGGCGAAAGCCUGAUGCAGCGACGCCGCGUGAGGGAUGACGGCCUUCGGGUUGUAAACCUCUUUCAGUAGGGAAGAAGCGAAAGUGACGGUACCUGCAGAAGAAGCGCCGGCUAACUACGUGCCAGCAGCCGCGGUAAUACGUAGGGCGCAAGCGUUAUCCGGAAUUAUUGGGCGUAAAGAGCUCGUAGGCGGUUUGUCGCGUCUGCCGUGAAAGUCCGGGGCUCAACUCCGGAUCUGCGGUGGGUACGGGCAGACUAGAGUGAUGUAGGGGAGACUGGAAUUCCUGGUGUAGCGGUGAAAUGCGCAGAUAUCAGGAGGAACACCGAUGGCGAAGGCAGGUCUCUGGGCAUUAACUGACGCUGAGGAGCGAAAGCAUGGGGAGCGAACAGGAUUAGAUACCCUGGUAGUCCAUGCCGUAAACGUUGGGCACUAGGUGUGGGGGACAUUCCACGUUUUCCGCGCCGUAGCUAACGGCAUUAAGUGCCCCGCCUGGGAGUACGGCCGCAAGGCAAACUCAAGGAAUUGACGGCGNGAGNGCGACGACGACGACGAGAGGAG
This 594-nucleotide ribosomal RNA is filed under the name uncultured bacterium. RNAcentral's name for it is "bacterial SSU rRNA". It matches the Rfam family "Bacterial small subunit ribosomal RNA", at positions 338 to 944 of the family's 1533-position model. The record is from RNAcentral.